RNAcentral lists this ribosomal RNA (253 nucleotides) under uncultured bacterium. RNAcentral's name for it is "partial 16S ribosomal RNA". It matches the Rfam family "Bacterial small subunit ribosomal RNA", at positions 524 to 776 of the family's 1533-position model. The record is from RNAcentral.
UACGUAGGGGGCAAGCGUUAUCCGGAUUUACUGGGUGUAAAGGGAGCGUAGGUGGUUUGGUAAGUCAGAUGUGAAAGCCCGGGGCUCAACCCCGGGACUGCAUUUGAAACUAUCAAACUGGAGUGCAGGAGAGGUAAGUGGAAUUCCUAGUGUAGCGGUGAAAUGCGUAGAUAUUAGGAGGAACACCAGUGGCGAAGGCGGCUUACUGGACUGUAACUGACACUGAGGCUCGAAAGCGUGGGGAGCAAACAGG